UGGGGAAUAUUGCACAAUCGGCGCAAGCCUGAUGCAGCCAUGCCGCGUGUAUGAAGAAGGCCUUCGGGUAGUAAAGUACUCUCAGCGGGGAGGAAGGGAGUAAAGUUAAUACCUUUGCUCAUUGACGCUACCCGCAGAAGAAGCACCGGCUAACUCCGUGCCAGCAGCCGCGGUAAUACGGUGGGUGCAAGCGUUAAUCGGAAUUACUGGGCGUAAAGCGCACGCAGGCGGUUUGUUAAGUCAGAUGUGAAAUCCCCGGGCUCAACCUGGGAACUGCAUCGGAUACUGGCGGGCGUGCGUCUCGUAGAGGGGGGUAGAAUUACAGGUGUAGCGGUGGAGUGCGUAGAGGUCUGGGGGAAUACCGGUGGCGAAGGCGGCCCCCUGGACGAAGACUGACGCUAAGGUGCGAAAGAGUGGGGAGCAAACAGG
This 429-nucleotide ribosomal RNA is filed under the name Chloroflexota bacterium. Its description in RNAcentral is "Chloroflexi bacterium partial 16S ribosomal RNA". It matches the Rfam family "Bacterial small subunit ribosomal RNA", at positions 355 to 776 of the family's 1533-position model. The record is from RNAcentral. Lineage: Bacteria; Bacillati; Chloroflexota.